GAUGAACGCUGGCGGCGUGCCUAACACAUGCAAGUCGAACGGAGCCAGCCCCUUCGGGGACUGACUUAGUGGCGAACGGGUGAGUAACGCGUGAGAAACCUGCCUUUCAGUGGGGGACAACAGUUGGAAACGACUGCUAAUACCGCAUAAUGUCAUUUGGGGGCAUCCUCGAAUGACCAAAGAUUUAUUGCUGAAAGAUGGUCUCGCGUCUGAUUAGCUAGAUGGCGGGGUAACGGCCCACCAAGUCUACGAUCAGUAGCCGGACUGAGAGGUUGAACGGCCACAUUGGAACUGAGAUACGGUCCAGACUCCUACGGGAGGCAGCAGUGGGGAAUAUUGCACAAUGGGGGAAACCCUGAUGCAGCGACGCCGCGUGAGUGAAGAAGUAUUUCGGUAUGUAAAGCUCUAUCAGCAGGGAAGAAAAUGACGGUACCUGACUAAGAAGCCCCGGCCAACUACGUG
This 462-nucleotide ribosomal RNA is filed under the name uncultured bacterium. RNAcentral describes it as "bacterial SSU rRNA". It matches the Rfam family "Bacterial small subunit ribosomal RNA", at positions 28 to 507 of the family's 1533-position model. The record is from RNAcentral.